GGUGUCACAUGCCAUUCUUCUGAUUUUCAUGAAUAUCCUCUAAAAGGCAGCUAAGCACUCGCUGUCUUCUUCCUUUUGCCUCAUCAAGCACGGGGGACGCUGGAAGGAAGAGGACACUCAGUGAUACAGAAUUGAAAAAGAGAAAGACCAGAUUUCCCAUGGAGAUGGAGAAAUUGGAAGCCCAGAUGAGGAACCAUCUCAUAUAAGCAAGCUUAUGUGUUUUGAUUUCGUGUUCAGAUAUUCUUAUCAAUGAUUUCCAGAAAGUGACAUUGAUUUGCUUUGGAAACAAUGAUGGAAAAACAGUGAGUGUGUACCGGAAUGCUUUUAGAGUUCUAAAAUCAUACUGGAAAAUGUCCGAGCAUUCCAACACAGCUAUAAACAGUACCAUGCUGUAUUUAUGGGGGGUGGCAAGUCUGUUUUUAAAAGUCUUUGCGAUAUUUUUUCUAUGUUUUUAAUUUAUUGAAUUAAAGCCAGAUUUAUUCAAUUAAGAUAA
This 493-nucleotide long non-coding RNA is filed under the name Homo sapiens (human). RNAcentral's name for it is "lncRNA bladder and prostate cancer suppressor, hnRNPK interacting". Lineage: Eukaryota; Metazoa; Chordata; Mammalia; Primates; Hominidae. The record is from RNAcentral.